GUGCUCGCUUUGCAGCACAUAUGCUAAAAUUGGAAUAAUACAGAGAUUAGUGUGGUCACUGUGCAAGGAUGACACGCAAGUUUGUGAAGCAUUCUAUAUAUAU
Molecule: small nuclear RNA, 103 nt
Organism: Bubalus bubalis (water buffalo)
Lineage: Eukaryota; Metazoa; Chordata; Mammalia; Artiodactyla; Bovidae
Source: RefSeq, a predicted model, not a curated record